Taeniopygia guttata (zebra finch) is the source of this 1640-nucleotide non-coding RNA. The record is from RefSeq and is a predicted model, not a curated record. Lineage: Eukaryota; Metazoa; Chordata; Aves; Passeriformes; Estrildidae.
CUCUGGAGGCUGAAGGCCGCCUCAGAGACCGCCGCCUCAGAGACGGCCGCCUCCUCCGCCAUGGCCGCGGCGUUGCCGGGGGCGACCUCUCGCGAGGAGAGGCGCCCGCGCCGCGGCGGGAAGAGACCCGGGGUUAAUUGAAUUUAAAUUAAUUUCGUUUAAUUCGAUUCAGUUUAAUGUAACUCAGCGCUUGUAACUGCGGGCGCAGCUCCUGGCGCGUUUGGGACGGCGCUGUGAGGAACGGGGUGUUUAAGGGCGGGCGAGGAGUCUCCCGAGGCUUCCAGGGCGGCCCCUCAGGGCGGGCACCCCCACACCGCCCUUCCUCACGGGGAAGGAAAAACAGCAGAAAACCAGCGAGGAAACCGCUGCAAACUCAUAAGAGAGCACUAAUAUCUUCUGCAGAUGGAACAUUUUUGCAGCUGGAAGCUGAGCUGAGUCCUCUGGGACCGAUUGCUUAAGUCCCUUCAGAACCCAAACUCCAAGGGAUCCGAAGAAUCCAAGGGAUUGCUUAAGUCCCUUCAGAACCCAAACUCUUCUGUGAUUCUAUAUUCACGUUUAAAAGCAGGAGCUUUCCCAGGAAAAAGUUUGGGAGACCAGCAUAUAUUUGUGGAGAUCACACGUCACGGCUCCCAGAAGUUUGAAAAAAAAGUUGCAGGAUUCGACAGAACAACAUCUGUUGCUUUUUCUUAUUUUAAGAUUAAACUGAUGUCACCAGCACAAUAUUCUUUCAUCAUAUCCAACCCACCAGAGGCAUCCUGAUCUCCAGCAGAGCAUCUCAAAAAAAGAAUAAGCAGAAGUGGCAUCACGAAGCACAACGUCCACCAGUCAGUACUCCUAAACUGCAGAGUGAAAAGCUGAUAACACUGUGAAAGUUGGGAUGGCUACAACUGAAAGCACCAUUCUUUUAGGGAAGUUUCCAAUUCCACCCCAAAUCACAGGCGCAGCUUUUGGGGAGGAAGGACGAGGCAAUGUCAGCAAUUCAGCUUUCUGAAAGAGCACAAAGCGUGGCUCUAACAGCACUCUCACGAUGACAGCCAAGAGGCCAUUGUCCACACGGUCAUGGCGGAGCACGGGACCACAGCUGGAAGCCAGAAUCAGUUGGCAAACAUCUUGUUCCAGCUUCUGCUGUGCCAUCUGGCUUCCAGAGAGGUGACUGACGUUAAAUGUAUUUUCUCUGUAUUGCCAUCUGGCAGCUGCUUGUACAACAACAGAGUAACAUGCAGAAUUUGGCUAAGACUUAUCCCAAGAAUCACAUCAAGGAUACUUGUAACACAGACUCUGAAACGGAAAAAAAGGCUUACAAGGAAAGUUUUGUCAGCUGCAGGCAUGACAGGCACAGAGUAUUGCAGGCGGAAUCCACCACAAGACUCCCUGAAGGAAAUUUGGCUCAGAGCAGGAUGGCACCUGAACUGGACAAAAUUUUCUGCCCACAUCUCCAGCUGCAACCCUGUUCAUACUCCCAUUCACCUGUGAGAUGAAGCCUCACCAGGGAUGCUCUGAGGUCCUCACCAGAUGAGUUAUCCAUGGCUAAGCCUGGCAAAGGAGGUGCUCAUGUGAGUGCAGCACAGCUGCACAUGGGGUCAGGGAAUGCCAGCAUGGGAAACUUUGAGCAAGGCAGGUCCUGCACUCCUUUUUGUCAA